Molecule: ribosomal RNA, 484 nt
Filed under: uncultured bacterium
Lineage: Bacteria
Description: partial 16S ribosomal RNA
Rfam family: Bacterial small subunit ribosomal RNA
Source: RNAcentral
AUUGAACGCUGGCGGCAGGCCUAACACAUGCAAGUCGAGCGGAUGAAGGGAGCUUGCUCCUGGAUUCAGCGGCGGACGGGUGAGUAAUGCCUAGGAAUCUGCCUGGUAGUGGGGGAUAACGUCCGGAAACGGGCGCUAAUACCGCAUACGUUCUGAGGGAGAAAGUGGGGGAUCUUCGGACCUCACGCUAUCAGAUGAGCCUAGGUCGGAUUAGCUAGUUGGUGGGGUAAAGGCCUACCAAGGCGACGAUCCGUAACUGGUCUGAGAGGAUGAUCAGUCACACUGGAACUGGGACACGGUCCAGACUCCUACGGGAGGCAGCAGUGGGGAAUAUUGGACAAUGGGCGAAAGCCUGAUCCAGCCAUGCCGCGUGUGUGAAGAAGGUCUUCGGAUUGUAAAGCACUUUAAGUUGGGAGAAAGGGCAGUAAGUUAAUACCUUGCUGUUUUGACGUUACCAGCAGAAUAAGCACCGGCUAACUACGUG